ACUACACCUGUUGUAUUCAGCAUUUCACUGUGAGGUCUACUACACCUGUUGUAUUCAGCAUUUCACUGUGAGGUCUACUACACCUGUUGUAUUCAGCAUUUCACUGUAAGGUCUACUACACCUGUUGUAUUCAGCAUUUCACUGUAAGGUCUACUACACCUGUUGUAUUCGGCAUUUCACUGUGAGGUCUACUACACCUGUUGUAUUCGGCAUUUCACUGUGAGGUCUACUACACCUGUUGUAUUCAGCAUUUCACUGUAAGGUCUACUACACCUGUUGUAUUCAGCAUUUCACUGUGAGGUCUACUACACCUGUUGUAUUCAGCAUUUCACUGUGAGGUCUACUACACCUGUUGUAUUCAGCAUUUCACUGUGAGGUCUACUACACCUGUUGUAUUCAGCAUUUCACUGUAAGGUCUACUACACCUGUUGUAUUCAGCAUUUCACUGUGAGGUCUACUACACCUGUUGUAUUCAGCAUUUCACUGUGAGGUCUACUACACCUGUUGUAUUCAGCAUUUCACUGUGAGGUCUACUACACCUGUAGUAUUCAGCAUUUCACUGUGAGGUCUACUACACCUGUUGUAUUCAGCAUUUCACUGUGAGGUCUACUACACCUGUAGUAUUCAGCAUUUCACUGUGAGGUCUACUACACCUGUUGUAUUCAGCAUUUCACUGUGAGGUCUACUACACCUGUUGUAUUCAGCAUUUCACUGUGAGGUCUACUACACCUGUUGUAUUCAGCAUUUCACUGUGAGGUCUACUACACCUGUUGUAUUCAGCAUUUCACUGUGAGGUCUACUACACCUGUUGUAUUCAGCAUUUCACUGUAAGGUCUACUACACCUGUUGUAUUCAGCAUUUCACUGUAAGGUCUACUACACCUGUUGUAUUCGGCAUUUCACUGUGAGGUCUACUACACCUGUUGUAUUCAGCAUUUCACUGUAAGGUCUACUACACCUGUUGUAUUCAGCAUUUCACUGUAAGGUCUACUACACCUGUUGUAUUCGGCAUUUCACUGUGAGGUCUACUACACCUGUUGUAUUCAGCAUUUCACUGUGAGGUCUACUACACCUGUUGUAUUCAGCAUUUCACUGUAAGGUCUACUACACCUGUUGUAUUCAGCAUUUCACUGUAAGGUCUACUACACCUGUUGUAUUCAGCAUUUCACUGUAAGGUCUACUACACCUGUUGUAUUCAGCAUUUCACUGUGAGGUCUACUACACCUGUUGUAUUCAGCAUUUCACUGUGAGGUCUACUACACCUGUUGUAUUCAGCAUUUCACUGUAAGGUCUACUACACCUGUUGUAUUCAGCAUUUCACUGUAAGGUCUACUACACCUGUUGUAUUCAGCAUUUCACUGUAAGGUCUACUACACCUGUUGUAUUCAGCAUUUCACUGUAAGGUCUACUACACCUGUUGUAUUCGGCAUUUCACUGUAAGGUCUACUACACCUGUUUUAUUCAGCAUUUCACUGUGAGGUCUACUACACCUGUUGUAUUCAGCAUUUCACUGUGAGGUCUACUACACCUGUUGUAUUCAGCAUUUCACUGUAAGGUCUACUACACCUGUUGUAUUCAGCAUUUCACUGUAAGGUCUACUACACCUGUUGUAUUCAGCAUUUCACUGUAAGGUCUACUACACCUGUUGUAUUCAGCAUUUCACUGUAAGGUCUACUACACCUGUUGUA
Long non-coding RNA from Oncorhynchus keta (chum salmon), 1687 nucleotides. RefSeq lists it as uncharacterized. Lineage: Eukaryota; Metazoa; Chordata; Actinopteri; Salmoniformes; Salmonidae. The record is from RefSeq and is a predicted model, not a curated record. The transcript has 5 exons.